ACACACAUGAUACAAUGGCUGGUACAAAGGGCCGCAAUGCCGAAAGGCGGAGCUAAUCCCAUCAAAGCCAGCCCCAGUUCGGAUUGAGGUCUGCAACUCGACCUCAUGAAGUUGGAAUCGCUAGUAACCGCGUAUCAGCCAUGGCGCGGUGAAUAUGUUCCUGGGUCUUGUACUCACAAUAAAAGCGCAUAGCAGCUUAACUUUCUAAGUGGUUUAAAUCCACUUCUCU
RNAcentral lists this ribosomal RNA (229 nucleotides) under Candidatus Woesebacteria bacterium. Its description in RNAcentral is "partial 16S ribosomal RNA". The stretch from base 1 to 173 matches the Rfam family "Bacterial small subunit ribosomal RNA", at positions 1216 to 1386 of the family's 1533-position model. Lineage: Bacteria; Candidatus Woeseibacteriota. The record is from RNAcentral.